AUAAAAAAGAUAUCUCAGGUACUUCAUUGCUAUCCAUUAUGCUCCCCAGUUUCAAGCAGAGCAAAAAAUUGUAAUUGAGUUGAUUUUUGAACAUGCAGAGCAGUUAGACAUCUGAAUUACCAAUCUUUAUUAUUAUUGCAAUAAACACACAGAUUACACUAAAAGCUAGUGAAUCAUAAACUUGCAGAUGACUUAUCCAAACACAAAGAUAAGACAUGAGUUUAUUAUUGUUGCUAUAAACACAGGGAUUAUAGCGAAAUUCAAAAACUAAAAACAAGGAAAAAAGUAGUGAUGAAAACAAAUGCCACUUUUGUGGGGAACACGAUUGCAUUCGCACAUGCAACAAGCCUUUUAAACCCAUAGGUGACCCAAAUAGGACGAGUGAAGUCUCGUGAGGGUUUCCAGAGACGUUACCCACAAACAUCAUGCAUACUGAUCAUCAACAUCUGCCUUGGGAGACUGAGUAGAUAUCCACCCCUCCAGCAUCAGGUGUUUUUUGGUUGAGGCGCAAUUCGAAUCUGUUUUCAAUGAACGGCCUGGUUAAGAGGUCGCUUUGCAAGUGACGUAAUCGGCAGCGCGUGAUUAGGUUGUUGCUGUCAGGUGGUCCGACAGGCUCGACCUUGAACAAUGUGCAAGCCCAAUUGUCUUUGGUUUCAUUUCGGUCAGCAGCUGCGGCCAGGACCAAUAGCCUGUUUUGGUCCACCCUUCUCAAGUAGUUGCCGUUGUAGGAGCAUUUGAUAUGCACGUAAUUCUUGUCGGCGUAGUCCUCAUUGUUUGGCUUCUCAGUGGUGAACUUUACGAACCUGCUGUUUUCAUUGUCCUCGGAAAAUUGGACAAUCUCAUUAAGGUCGCUUUCUGCAUCAAGUUGAUAACGCAAAUACUUGUUGUUGGUAUCUGCUUUCAGCAGAAAGGGGCUUGGUAGUACAGGUGGAGCCAUGUUGUAUAGUGUAGUUGGGAUUGGGAUGAACUCUCUUUUUUUCUUCUCUCUUGAUGGUUUAAUUUGCUUGCUGUGAGUGUGUUGCUCUGUUCAAACCUGCUAUCCUAUUUAUAAGAAAUUAAGCACAAGCUAGCUCAAGUUAUGGUCUUUAAUUAAUAUUAUUUUCGACAAAUCAGUUUCCCAUGUCUUUCAUUGAUAUGAACAUGGCUGAUCUCAUUGGUGUGACGCAAGAUUUGUUAAAAUAGCUGAUCGGAUUGAUUUCUUUGUAUAACUCUUCUGCCAAUUCUGCAACUUGUAGAUGCAAUUCCCAUUACAAAAUAAAAAAUAAAAAAUAAAAUCCUAAACUCAUAUAAGAUAAAUAAAGACUUUAUUUACGGGAUCGAAUGCACAUUGAUGGGUGCGCAUUUUCCUUCGUCAUCUUUUCUGUGCUAUUAACUUGUGCGAUUGUCGACUUUCAUAAAUUACAACGGCUACAGGUAAAAUGUCACCCUAGUUUUGAUAAAUAGUGAAGGCAUAUGGCAAAGUCUGUGCGGUCGUUUUUCAUGAAGCAAAUUCUUGUAGGUCUAAUGAUGGGGCAUAUGACAAAAACUUCUUUCUUGUUUAAAACUGAGCAUAAAUUUUAAAUUUUGUUAUAACAUUUCACAACUAUUAAAGGUUAACUCAAUGGCCGUAAGCACCAAAGAGAAAAAUGGUUAAGUGAAUGUUAUUAGAAUUAUAUAAAACUGCUUGCAUAGUAUUUUACGAAUAAGAAAUUUUAUAGAAUAUAGAAUAAGUAUUUCUUUUUAAAAAAAAAAAAUUGGGAUGGUAUAUUACACUAAAAUAUUUGUUGUAGAAUUUAGAUAUGAUCAUAGAAAAAGACUUUGCAAAAUGUCAAAAAAUUUAUACCACGUAGAAUGACUAUAAUUGCCAGAUAGUUAAAAGUUUUGCAACAUGUAAUCGACAUGGUUUCAUAGGACCUACAUCUAGUUGACUUGGUUGUUAAAAUUAAUGUAAGACUUUUAGUUGAUAUUUCUUGAGGGUGAAACACCUUUUGAGAAACGUUUUGGGCCUCAUUACAAUUUUUUCACUUAUCUUUUAUGUUUCAACUUAAAUAUUCUACUAUAAAUACAUUUGGGGCUUAACAACUGGUAAAACCAUUUCCAGAUGUAUUUUAAAGAUUUUCUUAAUGUCACGGAAAAUAUUUUACGAAAAUGAAAGAUUUGAAUUUCCACAAAAAAACGUUGGUUAACUCACGGUUUUUUGUCGGUUUUGUAAAUUUGUAUAAAUAUCUUCGUUAAAUCUAUUUGUUUUCACAUUAACCUCACUGUGAGGUACUUAAAAUUAAUGUAACUUUCCGUCGAUAUUCUUGAGUAUUGACCCUUGUUAAGGCAAAGAUUUGGGCCUCACUACAUUUUUUUUCAUUUAUGUCUUAGGUUUCGGCUUUCACAAAGCACAAGGCUGUAGACCUGAAGUUUUGAUUAAAAAUAUUUGUAACAUGACAGCAUAUGGCUAUAGGCGUGGAGUCUUUGCUAACAAUUAAAAGUUUUGUAAUAAAAUAUUUGACUUGGUUUAUAAGACCUACAUCUAGAUGAUUUGGUUUUUAAAACAAAUAUAAGACUUUUUGUUGAUAUUUCUUGAGGAUGAAACACCAGUUGAGAAACGUCUUGCAUCUCAUUACAAUUUUUUUUUUCAUUUAUUUUUUAGGUUUCAACUUAAAUAUUAUACUAUAAAUACAUAUGUGGCUCAAUAAUUGGUAAAACCAUUUCCAAAUCUCUUGUAAACAUUUUCUUAACGUCAUGGAAAAUAUUUUACAAAAAUAAAACAUUUGUAUUUUUCACAAAAGACAAAGGUUAACAAUCACGGUUUUUAUAUCGGUUAUACAAAUUCAUUCGAAAAUCAUCAUUAAGUCUAUUUGUUUUCACAUUCGCCUUAUCGUGAGGUACUUAAAAAUAAUGUAUAGCUUUCCGUCACUAUUCUUGAGUAUAGAGCGUAGUUAAGGCAAAUAUUUGGGGCCCACUACCAUUUUUUUUCAUUUAAUUUUAAGUUUCGGCUUAGAUAUACCAUUUAAACUAAAUCUUGGAUCAAUAAUUGGAAACAAAUACUCUCCCCAUGCGAGCUCCUUCGUCAAUUCCCCUGGCGAACUCUGAGUGCCUCUAAAGAAAUGAUUAACUGAAAUUAGAAUUUUUGAAACCUUGUGUUUGGUUGUAUCUAACGAUCCCUAAUACCAAAUUUAAGGUUUGGAUAUAUAAAAAAGAUAUCUCGGGUAAUUCAUUGCUAGCCAUUAUGCUCCCCAGUUUCAAGCAAAGCAAAAAAUUCUAAUUGAGUUGAUUUUUUAACAUACAGAGUAGUUAGACAUCUGAAUUACCAAUCUUUAUUAUUAUUGCAAUAAACACACAGAUUACACUAAAAGCUAGUGAAUCAUAAACUUGUAGAUGACUUAUCCAAACACAAAGAUAAGACAUGAGUUUAUUAUUGUUGCUAUAAACACCCGGAUUACAGCGAAAUUCAAAAACUAAAAACAAGGAAAAAAGUAGUGAUGAAAACCAAUGCCACUUUCGUGGGGAACACGAUUGCAUUCGCACAUGCAACAAGCCUUUUAAACCUAUAGGUGACCCAAAUGGGAAGAGUGAAGUCUCUCGUGAGGGUUUCCAGAGACGUUACCCACAAACAUCAUGCAUACCGAUCAUCAACAUCUGACUUGGGAGACUGAGUAGAUAUCCACCCCUCCGGCAUCAGGUGUUUUUUGGUUGAGGCGCAAUUCGAAUCUGCUUUCAAUGAAUGGUCUGGUUAAGAGGUUGCUUUGCAAGUGACGUAAUCGGCAGCGCGUGAUUAGGUUGUUGCUGUCAGGUGGUCCGACAGGCUCGACCUUGAACAAUGUGCAAGCCCAAUUGUCUUUGGUUUCGUUUCGGUCAGCAGCAGCGGCCAGGACCAAUAGCCUGUUUUGGUCCACCCUUCUCAAGUAGUUGCCGUUGUAGGAGCAUUUGAUAUGCACGUAAUUCUUGUCGGCGUAGUCCUCAUUGUUUGGCUUCUCGGUAGUGAACUUUAUGAACCUGCUGUUUUCAUUGUCCUCGGAAAAUUGGACAAUCUCAUUAAG
Molecule: long non-coding RNA, 4010 nt
Filed under: Malus domestica (apple)
Lineage: Eukaryota; Viridiplantae; Streptophyta; Magnoliopsida; Rosales; Rosaceae
Description: long non-coding RNA (MDOM_LNC008915)
Source: RNAcentral